Cannabis sativa is the source of this 676-nucleotide long non-coding RNA. RefSeq lists it as uncharacterized. The transcript is spliced from 3 exons. Lineage: Eukaryota; Viridiplantae; Streptophyta; Magnoliopsida; Rosales; Cannabaceae. The record is from RefSeq and is a predicted model, not a curated record.
AUAUUAAUGGUCUUGGUUGGUCGGGCUUUUAAAAAUUAUUUUUGGAUUUUUUAAGCUCCAAAAGUAUUUUUAUUGGUUGGUAAAUCAAUAAAUUUUAGUUUUUAACGGUAACAAAAUUAGUUUUAGUAGUUUUUACAAAAAGAGAGAUUUUCGAAAAACUAAAAGCAGAAAACAAAAACUCAGCAUUAUAAUUUUGCUGAAUAGUCCUUAAUUUAUGUUUUUUUAUAAUCUUUGUGGUCGUUAAUAAUAAACUAGUUUGGAACUUUGUGUUCUUCUUGAGCUUUCUAUAAUAAUCACUGCCUCUAUGGAUAAAACUGCUCGUUUAUGGCAUACUUUCACUUAUAAGCUUGAAAAUACUUUUAAUUAUGAUCUUGGAAGAGUUUGGGCCGUUGGAUCCAUCAAAGGAAUAAAUCAGGUUGUCUUUGGUUUUGACAAAGAAUUUUGCAUUGUCAAGAUAAUGAAAGGUGGAGAUUCUGUAUUAAGUGGUCAAACCUAAAAGAGUGUCAUGAUAAAAAAUAAUUGAAAAUAAGCUAAUUUCAAAGUUGACUAUAUGUUGUUUUUUGAUAAGUUAUGUAAAACAAAUAACAUUCUCAAUUUUUUUUAAUGUGUGUUCAUUGUAAUAAUCUUCCAUGAAAAGCUACAAUUUUUAUUUGUUCAAACUAAUAUGGCUUUUUCA